ACAUACAUGAGGAGGUGAUUCAGAGUAUGAUGAAGAGGAGAGCACAAAGAAGUUUGCGAGGAAAGUAGCUGAUCAUUAUAGUCGAAGAACAAACCAAACUCUGGAAGACAGAGAAGCUAGUCCCAUCAUUCAUCUGAAGAAACUCAACAAUUGGAUUAAAAGUGUGUUGAUCCAGCUUUAUGCUCGUCCUGACGACGCUGUUCUAGACCUCGCAUGUGGGAAGGGUGGUGAUUUGAUCACGUUGGACAAGGCAAGGAUCGGUUACUAUGUUGGAAUCGAUAUAGCCGAAGGAUCGAUUGUCGAAUGCGUUAUAAUGGUGACGCAGACCAUCACCAACGUCGUAUGAAGUUCAGCUUCCCCUCCCGUUUAUUAUGUGGGGACUGUUUUGAAGUAAGUUCCUAGAGUAGUUUCAAACACACAAGUUCUUGUCUUGAUACUUGUGUGUUUAAAACUACCAAUGUUGUGGUGGCUGACAAGUUUGCUGCUGAUGCCAACAACAAGGUCUGUCUCUCAUUGCUUUUAGAAAUGUCCUAAAUUCUUGGUUAAUGGUUGAUAGAAGAAAACUGAAAGGAUUUCAAUUUUUUUUUUAAAAAAAAAAUUUUUAUUCUAAGGAUUCUAAAUUAGGGUACACCAUUGUAGACACUUUUUUACAAUGA
Molecule: long non-coding RNA, 656 nt
Organism: Raphanus sativus (radish)
Lineage: Eukaryota; Viridiplantae; Streptophyta; Magnoliopsida; Brassicales; Brassicaceae
Exons: 4
Source: RefSeq, a predicted model, not a curated record